CCUGGAAUAACCUGCCGAAAGGCUGGCUAAUACCAGAUAAGCCUACGGACUCUUCGGAGUCUGAAGGAAAAGAUGGCCUCUGCAUGCAAGCUAUCACUUUGAGAUGAGCCCGCGGCCCAUCAGCUAGUUGGCGGGGUAACGGCCCACCAAGGCAACGACGGGUAGCUGGUCUGAGAGGACGAUCAGCCACACUGGAACUGAGACACGGUCCAG
RNAcentral lists this ribosomal RNA (213 nucleotides) under uncultured bacterium. RNAcentral describes it as "partial 16S ribosomal RNA". It matches the Rfam family "Bacterial small subunit ribosomal RNA", at positions 137 to 334 of the family's 1533-position model. The record is from RNAcentral.